This 86-nucleotide transfer RNA is filed under the name Actinomycetes bacterium. Its description in RNAcentral is "tRNA-Leu". It matches the Rfam family "tRNA". Rfam says of the family: Transfer RNA (tRNA) molecules are approximately 80 nucleotides in length. Their secondary structure includes four short double-helical elements and three loops (D, anti-codon, and T loops). The record is from RNAcentral. RNAcentral also lists the same sequence under 2 other names. Lineage: Bacteria; Bacillati; Actinomycetota; Actinomycetes.
GCGGGCGUGGCGAAAUGGCAGACGCGCUGGGUUUAGGUCCCAGUUCUCGAAAGGGAGUGGAGGUUCAAGUCCUCUCGCCCGCACCA